This 424-nucleotide ribosomal RNA is filed under the name uncultured Glomeromycotina. RNAcentral describes it as "SSU rRNA". It matches the Rfam family "Eukaryotic small subunit ribosomal RNA", at positions 670 to 1092 of the family's 1831-position model. Lineage: Eukaryota; Fungi; Glomeromycota. The record is from RNAcentral.
UCGGUACGUACUGGCAUUGUUGGUUUCUCCCUUCUGACGAACCAUGAUGUCAUUUAUUUGGUGUUGUGGGGAAUCAGGACUGUUACUUUGAAAAAAUUAGAGUGUUUAAAGCAGGCUCACGCUUGAAUACAUUAGCAUGGAAUAAUGAAAUAGGACGUUUGAUUCUAUUUUGUUGGUUUCUAGGAUCGACGUAAUGAUUAAUAGGGAUAGUUGGGGGCAUUAGUAUUCAAUUGUCAGAGGUGAAAUUCUUGGAUUUAUUGAAGACUAACUACUGCGAAAGCAUUUGCCAAGGAUGUUUUCAUUAAUCAAGAACGAAAGUUAGGGGAUCGAAGACGAUCAGAUACCGUCGUAGUCUUAACCAUAAACUAUGCCGACCAGGGAUCGGAUGAUGUUAAUUUUUUAAUGACUCAUUCGGCGCCUUACG